CUCUGUGACUCCUACGGGAGGCAGCAGUGGGGAAUAUUGCACAAUGGGCGCAAGCCUGAUGCAGCCAUGCCGCGUGUAUGAAGAAGGCCUUCGGGUUGUAAAGUACUUUCAGCAGUGAGGAAGGUGGGUAUGUUAAUAGCAUACUCAUUUGACGUUAGCUGCAGAAGAAGCACCGGCUAACUCCGUGCCAGCAGCCGCGGUAAUACGGAGGGUGCGAGCGUUAAUCGGAAUUACUGGGCGUAAAGCGCAUGCAGGUGGUUUGUUAAGUCAGAUGUGAAAGCCCCGGGCUCAACCUCGGAAUUGCAUUUGAAACUGGCAAACUAGAGUACUGUAGAGGGGGUAGAAUUUCAGGUGUAGCGGUGAAAUGCGUAGAGAUCUGAAGGAAUACCGGUGGCGAAGGCGGCCCCCUGGACAGAUACUGACACUCAGAUGCGAAAGCGUGGGGAGCAAACAGGAUUAGAUACCCUGGUGG
RNAcentral lists this ribosomal RNA (472 nucleotides) under uncultured bacterium. RNAcentral's name for it is "bacterial SSU rRNA". It matches the Rfam family "Bacterial small subunit ribosomal RNA", at positions 328 to 793 of the family's 1533-position model. The record is from RNAcentral.